UACGGGGGGUGCAAGCGUUGCUCGGAAUCACUGGGCGUAAAGCGUCCGCAGGCGGCUUGACAAGUCGGGUGUGAAAGCCCGGGGCUCAACCCCGGAACUGCAUUCGAAACUGUCUGGCUUGAGUACGGGAGAGGGUCGUGGAAUUCCUGGUGUAGAGGUGAAAUUCGUAGAUAUCAGGAGGAACACCGGUGGCGAAAGCGGCGACCUGGCCCGAUACUGACGCUCAUGGACGAAAGCGUGGGGAGCAAACAGG
RNAcentral lists this ribosomal RNA (253 nucleotides) under uncultured bacterium. RNAcentral's name for it is "partial 16S ribosomal RNA". It matches the Rfam family "Bacterial small subunit ribosomal RNA", at positions 524 to 776 of the family's 1533-position model. The record is from RNAcentral.